This 488-nucleotide ribosomal RNA is filed under the name uncultured Cystobacterineae bacterium. RNAcentral describes it as "bacterial SSU rRNA". It matches the Rfam family "Bacterial small subunit ribosomal RNA", at positions 892 to 1382 of the family's 1533-position model. The record is from RNAcentral. Lineage: Bacteria; Pseudomonadati; Myxococcota; Myxococcia; Myxococcales.
CUCAGAAACUCAAAGGAUUAGACGGGGCCGCACAAGGCGGUGGAGCAUGUGGUUUAAUUCGAUGAUACGCGAGGAACCUUACCUGGGCUCAAAUGUAUGUUGACGUAUUCUGAAAGGGAUACUUCUUCGGACAAUAUACAAGGUGCUGCAUGGUUGUCGUCAGCUCGUGCCGUGAGGUGUCGGGUUAAGUCCCAUAACGAGCGCAACCCCUAUCAUUAGUUGCCAUCAGGUCAAGCUGGGGACUCUAAUGAAACUGCCUACGCAAGUAGUGAGGAAGGUGGGGAUGACGUCAAGUCCUCAUGGCCUUUAUGACCAGGGCUACACACGUACUACAAUGGCCGAUACAAAGGGCAGCGACACUGCGAGGUGAAGCCAAUCCCGUAAAAUCGGUCUCAGUCCGGAUUGGAGUCUGCAACUCGACUCCAUGAAGUUGGAAUCGCUAGUAAUCGCAGAUCAGCCAAGCUGCGGUGAAUACGUUCCCGGGCCUU